AAAAAAGAGUUUCCGGAAUUGCUGUCAAUCAAGGAGUCUCUGGUCAAGUACGUUUUUGAACCAAAUAAGAAAGGUUGAAAUAAAGCGGCAUUUAUGGAUCCUACGUUGUAUGGCAAGUGAGUAUUGCUAGUGUUUCAAUUCUAUUAGUUAUUCACUGUUAGGUUUUCUGAUUGUUUCUACCAAUGAUAGAAAGUGAAGUAUUAGGCAUGCUUCUGUGAUUUCUUUACCUGAG
This 232-nucleotide unclassified non-coding RNA is filed under the name Hevea brasiliensis (rubber tree). Lineage: Eukaryota; Viridiplantae; Streptophyta; Magnoliopsida; Malpighiales; Euphorbiaceae. The record is from RNAcentral.